GGGUUGUGAGGUUAAGCGACUAAGCGUACACGGUGGAUGCCCUGGCAGUCAGAGGCGAUGAAGGGCGUGCUAAUCUGCGAUAAGCGCCGGUAAGGUGAUAUGAACCGUUAUAACCGGCGAUACCCGAAUGGGGAAACCCAGUGUGACUCGUCACACUAUCAUUAACUGAAUCCAUAGGUUAAUGAGGCGAACCGGGGGAACUGAAACAUCUAAGUACCCCGAGGAAAAGAAAUCAACCGAGAUUCCCCCAGUAGCGGCGAGCGAACGGGGAGGAGCCCAGAGCCUGAAUCAGCAUGUGUGUUAGUGGAAGCGUCUGGAAAGGCGCGCGAUACAGGGUGACAGCCCCGUACACAAAAGCGCAUGUGCUGUGAGCUCGAUGAGUAGGGCGGGACACGUGGUAUCCUGUCUGAAUAUGGGGGGACCAUCCUCCAAGGCUAAAUACUCCUGACUGACCGAUAGUGAACCAGUACCGUGAGGGAAAGGCGAAAAGAACCCCGGCGAGGGGAGUGAAAAAGAACCUGAAACCGUGUACGUACAAGCAGUGGGAGCACAGGUUUACCUGUGUGACUGCGUACCUUUUGUAUAAUGGGUCAGCGACUUAUAUUCUGUAGCAAGGUUAACCGAAUAGGGGAGCCGGAGGGAAACCGAGUCUUAACCGGGCGUUAAGUUGCAGGGUAUAGACCCGAAACCCGGUGAUCUAGCCAUGGGCAGGUUGAAGGUUGGGUAACACUAACUGGAGGACCGAACCGACUAAUGUUGAAAAAUUAGCGGAUGACCUGUGGCUGGGGGUGAAAGGCCAAUCAAACCGGGAGAUAGCUGGUUCUCCCCGAAAGCUAUUUAGGUAGCGCCUCGUGAAUUCAUCUCCGGGGGUAGAGCACUGUUUCGGCUAGGGGGCCAUCCCGGCUUACCAACCCGAUGCAAACUGCGAAUACCGGAGAAUGUUAUCACGGGAGACACACGGCGGGUGCUAACGUCCGUCGUGAAGAGGGAAACAACCCAGACCGCCAGCUAAGGUCCCAAAGUCAUGGUUAAGUGGGAAACGAUGUGGGAAGGCCCAGACAGCCAGGAUGUUGGCUUAGAAGCAGCCAUCAUUUAAAGAAAGCGUAAUAGCUCACUGGUCGAGUCGGCCUGCGCGGAAGAUGUAACGGGGCUAAACCAUGCACCGAAGCUGCGGCAGCGANNGUUGGGUAGGGGAGCGUUCUGUAAGCCUGUGAAGGUGGCCUGUGAGGGUUGCUGGAGGUAUCAGAAGUGCGAAUGCUGACAUAAGUAACGAUAAAGCGGGUGAAAAGCCCGCUCGCCGGAAGACCAAGGGUUCCUGUCCAACGUUAAUCGGGGCAGGGUGAGUCGACCCCUAAGGCGAGGCCGAAAGGCGUAGUCGAUGGGAAACGGGUUAAUAUUCCCGUACUUGGUGUUACUGCGAAGGGGGGACGGAGAAGGCUAUGUUGGCCGGGCGACGGUUGUCCCGGUUUAAGCGUGUAGGUGUGUGUUCCAGGUAAAUCCGGUUCACUUUAACACUGAGGCGUGAUGACGAGGCACUACGGUGCUGAAGUAACAAAUGCCCUGCUUCCAGGAAAAGCCUCUAAGCAUCAGGUAACAUCAAAUCGUACCCCAAACCGACACAGGUGGUCAGGUAGAGAAUACCAAGGCGCUUGAGAGAACUCGGGUGAAGGAACUAGGCAAAAUGGUGCCGUAACUUCGGGAGAAGGCACGCUGACACGUAGGUGAAGUGAUUUACUCAUGGAGCUGAAGUCAGUCGAAGAUACCAGCUGGCUGCAACUGUUUAUUAAAAACACAGCACUGUGCAAACACGAAAGUGGACGUAUACGGUGUGACGCCUGCCCGGUGCCGGAAGGUUAAUUGAUGGGGUCAGCGCAAGCGAAGCUCCUGAUCGAAGCCCCGGUAAACGGCGGCCGUAACUAUAACGGUCCUAAGGUAGCGAAAUUCCUUGUCGGGUAAGUUCCGACCUGCACGAAUGGCGUAAUGAUGGCCAGGCUGUCUCCACCCGAGACUCAGUGAAAUUGAACUCGCUGUGAAGAUGCAGUGUACCCGCGGCAAGACGGAAAGACCCCGUGAACCUUUACUAUAGCUUGACACUGAACAUUGAGCCUUGAUGUGUAGGAUAGGUGGGAGGCUUUGAAGUGUGGACGCCAGUCUGCAUGGAGCCGACCUUGAAAUACCACCCUUUAAUGUUUGAUGUUCUAACGUGGACCCGUGAUCCGGGUUGCGGACAGUGUCUGGUGGGUAGUUUGACUGGGGCGGUCUCCUCCUAAAGAGUAACGGAGGAGCACGAAGGUUGGCUAAUCCUGGUCGGACAUCAGGAGGUUAGUGCAAUGGCAUAAGCCAGCUUGACUGCGAGCGUGACGGCGCGAGCAGGUGCGAAAGCAGGUCAUAGUGAUCCGGUGGUUCUGAAUGGAAGGGCCAUCGCUCAACGGAUAAAAGGUACUCCGGGGAUAACAGGCUGAUACCGCCCAAGAGUUCAUAUCGACGGCGGUGUUUGGCACCUCGAUGUCGGCUCAUCACAUCCUGGGGCUGAAGUAGGUCCCAAGGGUAUGGCUGUUCGCCAUUUAAAGUGGUACGCGAGCUGGGUUUAGAACGUCGUGAGACAGUUCGGUCCCUAUCUGCCGUGGGCGCUGGAGAACUGAGGGGGGCUGCUCCUAGUACGAGAGGACCGGAGUGGACGCAUCACUGGUGUUCGGGUUGUCAUGCCAAUGGCACUGCCCGGUAGCUAAAUGCGGAAGAGAUAAGUGCUGAAAGCAUCUAAGCACGAAACUUGCCCCGAGAUGAGUUCUCCCUGAGACUUAGAGUCUCCUGAAGGAACGUUGAAGACGACGACGUUGAUAGGCCGGGUGUGUAAGCGCAGCGAUGCGUUGAGCUAACCGGUACUAAUGAACCGUGAGGCUUAACCCUACAACGCCGAAG
Molecule: ribosomal RNA, 2919 nt
Filed under: Salmonella enterica subsp. enterica serovar Dublin
Lineage: Bacteria; Pseudomonadati; Pseudomonadota; Gammaproteobacteria; Enterobacterales; Enterobacteriaceae
Description: bacterial LSU rRNA
Rfam family: Bacterial large subunit ribosomal RNA
Source: RNAcentral